GUGGGGAAUAUUGGACAAUGGGCGCAAGCCUGAUCCAGCCAUGCCGCGUGUGUGAUGAAGGCCUUAGGGUUGUAAAGCACUUUUGUCCGGGAAGAUAAUGACUGUACCGGAAGAAUAAGCCCCGGCUAACUUCGUGCCAGCAGCCGCGGUAAUACGAAGGGGGCUAGCGUUGCUCGGAAUCACUGGGCGUAAAGGGCGCGUAGGCGGACUCUUAAGUCGGGGGUGAAAGCCCAGGGCUCAACCCUGGAAUUGCCUUCGAUACUGAGAGUCUUGAGUUCGGAAGAGGUUGGUGGAACUGCGAGUGUAGAGGUGAAAUUCGUAGAUAUUCGCAAGAACACCAGUGGCGAAGGCGGCCAACUGGUCCGAUACUGACGCUGAGGCGCGAAAGCGUGGGGAGCAAACAGGAUUAGAAACCCUUGUAGUCC
This 425-nucleotide ribosomal RNA is filed under the name uncultured bacterium. RNAcentral describes it as "partial 16S ribosomal RNA". It matches the Rfam family "Bacterial small subunit ribosomal RNA", at positions 354 to 796 of the family's 1533-position model. The record is from RNAcentral.